This 1671-nucleotide ribosomal RNA is filed under the name Triticum aestivum (bread wheat). RNAcentral describes it as "partial small subunit ribosomal RNA". The record is from RNAcentral. Lineage: Eukaryota; Viridiplantae; Streptophyta; Magnoliopsida; Poales; Poaceae.
AUGGCGAGCGAGGUAAUGGGCGAGUUGAGCAGAGCCAACCUUCCAGCAUGUGACAUGACAAACAUAGCUGAUGUGAUCUUUCUUUCAGCUUUGCACACAAAUGGUGUCAUAUCAAGAAUCGAAGGUCGCGUGGUCCCUAAGGGCAAACCCAGACUGCAAGAGAUCGGCCGCAAUGACAAAAAUGAGGCGAGACAUGGGAUCUCCUUAGCGUACUCCACAUUUGCACUGAAAUUGCCGACCAGAGAGGCUCCUGGUCGUCGGUCACCGUUUGGUUUGCGGCGGGAGGAUCUCAAGGCCGAUGCAAGCCAUCCGAUUUGCCCGGAUAGCUUGCGCGUGGGCGACCUACCUGGAGGGUACAUGACGGAUGGACUGCAUGCCAGCCCGAGGCCACUACCCUUGGGUGGUUCUCGACGCGCACCCACCCCCGCGUGGUGGCACAUCCGGACCCUCCUGGUGCCUCUCAGGGAUGAUCCGAUUCGUCGGAUCUUCCCGGACGGCUCGUACCCAGGAGACCCGGCUGGGAGGUCCAUGAUAGGUGGACCGCCGGGCCUGCCCGGGGCCACUCUCAUUGGGCGCCGCCCGUCAAUUCUUGCCAGCGCGCGGGAGUCUAAGGCCCGCCACCGGGCCAAAGCCACAUUGCUGGCUUCUAAUGUUGAGCAGGAAUACUCCGUGACAUCUCUCAUCCCUUGUAUUCUUGGAAAAAAGAUCACCAUGGAUGGGGAGUUGCCGGAAUACGACAGUGAUGUGCAAAAUAUGUUGGACCUCUUCAUCACAAGCGAGCAGGGCCACCUACUCCAGCACGAGAAUGGUGAUGAGAUGCAUGGCCUACUGGGAGCCACUACCAACAUGGGCAACACUGACGAUGCCAACGCUGCUGCUGCAGACAAAGGCAACAAUAACGAUGGAGAGAUCAAUAAAAGCCCUUAUCCAGAUGCGAAACUCCGGCAAGACCUUAGCGAGAGGCUUGGCAUGAGUGCCCUGCAGGUCAAGUUUUGGUUCCAAAACAAACGCUCCUUCAGCAAGGGCAAGAGGCAACUACAGGACACCAAAAAUCUUCAGGGAGAGAACCAGAUGCUAAAAGAUGAAAACCAAGCUAUCAAGUGGGUUGUUGAACACAAGACAUGCCUCAAAUGCGCAGGCGUGAUACUAAAAACUCAGGAUACCUCGGAGCACCAACGCCUGUGUACAGAGAAUAUGAGGCUCAAGGAAGAACUCCGCCGUGCCACCGCCUAUCUUAAAGAGGGUCUCUACCCUUUUACGUUGAUCCUUCUCGGCAACAAAAAGUGGUAUGAGAUCAUUGAUCCUGUUCUGGAGCCUUUGCUUGCCAUCCACACACACACUUCUCGGUGCGUGCACCUACAGAGUCAUGCCCGGAUCUGGAUGACACGGACCUGCGGCGAGCUACAAGUAGUAGUACAGAAUUCGGUGAACCGGAUGGUCAUGCCCAAGAAUUAUGCCAAAUUGGCUCCUCUGUCGCGUAUGAAUCGGCAAGUGUUGGGCUACUGCAAGGCCGUGGAGCAGAAAGCAGCAGCCAGUUUCUGGCUCAGCGGUUGGCAGAAAGCAGUCAGAGCGAAAUUUUGCCAAAUUGACAUGGAUCGGAUCGACUCAGCGGUUGGCAGAAAGCAGUCAGAGCGAGCAGCCAGCUUCUGGCUGCAGUGCGUGCAUUCUUAA